GACGAACGCUGGCGGCGUGCUUAACACAUGCAAGUCGAACGGAAAGGCCCUGCUUUUGUGGGGUGCUCGAGUGGCGAACGGGUGAGUAACACGUGAGUAACCUGCCCUUGACUUUGGGAUAACUUCAGGAAACUGGGGCUAAUACCGGAUAUGAGCUCCUGCUGCAUGGUGGGGGUUGGAAAGUUUCGGCGGUUGGGGAUGGACUCGCGGCUUAUCAGCUUGUUGGUGGGGUAGUGGCUUACCAAGGCUUUGACGGGUAGCCGGCCUGAGAGGGUGACCGGCCACAUUGGGACUGAGAUACGGCCCAGACUCCUACGGGAGGCAGCAGUGGGGAAUAUUGCACAAUGGGCGGAAGCCUGAUGCAGCAACGCCACGUGCGGGAUGACGGCCUUCGGGUUGUAAACCGCUUUCGCCUGUGACGAAGCGUGAGUGACGGUAAUGGGUAAAGAAGCACCGGCUAACUACGUG
This 468-nucleotide ribosomal RNA is filed under the name uncultured bacterium. Its description in RNAcentral is "partial 16S ribosomal RNA". It matches the Rfam family "Bacterial small subunit ribosomal RNA", at positions 28 to 507 of the family's 1533-position model. The record is from RNAcentral.